UACGUAGGGGGCGAGCGUUGUCCGGAUUUAUUGGGCGUAAAGAGCUCGUAGGCGGUUUGGUAAGUUGGAUGUGAAAUCUCCAGGCUCAACUUGGAGGGGUCAUUCGAUACUGCCAUGACUAGAGUUCGGUAGGGGAGUGUGGAAUUCCUAGUGGAGCGGUGAAAUGCGCAGAUAUCAGGAGGAACACCCGUAGCGAAGGCGGCACUCUGGGCCGGAACUGACGCUGAGGAGCGAAAGCGUGGGGAGCGAACAGG
RNAcentral lists this ribosomal RNA (254 nucleotides) under uncultured bacterium. RNAcentral's name for it is "partial 16S ribosomal RNA". It matches the Rfam family "Bacterial small subunit ribosomal RNA", at positions 524 to 776 of the family's 1533-position model. The record is from RNAcentral.